GACGAACGCUGGCGGCGUGCUUAACACAUGCAAGUCGAACGGAAAGGCCCUGCUUUUGUGGGGUGCUCGAGUGGCGAACGGGUGAGUAACACGUGAGUAACCUGCCCUUGACUUUGGGAUAACUUCAGGAAACUGGGGCGAAUACCGGAUAGGAGCUCCUGCUGCAUGGUGGGGGUUGGAAAGUUUCGGCGGUUGGGGAUGGACUCGCGGCUUAUCAGCUUGUUGGUGGGGUAGUGGCUUACCAAGGCUUUGACGGGUAGCCGGCCUGAGAGGGUGACCGGCCACAUUGGGACUGAGAUACGGCCCAGACUCAUACGGGAGGCAGCAGUGGGGAAUAUUGCACAAUGGGCGGAAGCCUGAUGCAGCAACGCCGCGUGCGGGAUGACGGCCUUCGGGUUGUAAACCGCUUUCGCCUGUGACGAAGCGUGAGUGACGGUAAUGGGUAAAGAAGCACCGGCUAACUACGUG
This 468-nucleotide ribosomal RNA is filed under the name uncultured bacterium. Its description in RNAcentral is "partial 16S ribosomal RNA". It matches the Rfam family "Bacterial small subunit ribosomal RNA", at positions 28 to 507 of the family's 1533-position model. The record is from RNAcentral.